UAUUCUGCCCUACAGGGAAGAAUGAGAAGCUUCGACUAAGGUUCGACUCGAGCGAAGCGAGAGAACGUUGCCGCAGGCAACGGCCCGAAGGGCGAGGCGCUUUAGCGCCGAGUAAUCCUUCCCCCACCACCA
RNAcentral lists this small RNA (132 nucleotides) under Klebsiella pneumoniae. Its description in RNAcentral is "RtT sRNA". It matches the Rfam family "RtT RNA". Rfam says of the family: This family represents a bacterial cis-regulatory element known as RtT RNA. RNAcentral also lists the same sequence under 1 other name. The record is from RNAcentral. Lineage: Bacteria; Pseudomonadati; Pseudomonadota; Gammaproteobacteria; Enterobacterales; Enterobacteriaceae.